This 253-nucleotide ribosomal RNA is filed under the name uncultured bacterium. RNAcentral's name for it is "partial 16S ribosomal RNA". It matches the Rfam family "Bacterial small subunit ribosomal RNA", at positions 524 to 776 of the family's 1533-position model. The record is from RNAcentral.
UACGGGGGGGGCAAACGUUGUUCGGAAUUACUGGGCGUAAAGGGCCAGUAGGCGGCCAACUAAGUCGGAUGUGAAAUCCCCAGGCUCAACUUGGGAACUGCAUCCGAUACUGGAUGGCUUGAAUUCGGGAGAGGGAUGCAGAAUUCCAGGUGUAGCGGUGAAAUGCGUAGAUAUCUGGAGGAAUACCGGUGGCGAAGGCGGCAUCCUGGACCGACAUUGACGCUGAACGGCGAAAGCUAGGGGAGCAAACGGG